CUCGCUGAGUUUAAGCAUAUCAAUAAGCGGAUGAAAAGAAACUAACAAGGAUUCCCUUAGUAACGGCGAGCAAACCGGGAAGAGCCCAGCUUGAAAAUCGGACGUCUUCGGCAUUUGAAUUGUAGUCUGGAGAAGCGUCCUCAGCGACGGACCGGGCCCAAGUUCCCAGGAAAGGGGCGCCAAAGAGGGUGAGAGCCCCAUCGUGCCCGGACCCUGUCGUACCACGAGGCGCUGUCUACGAGUCGGGUUGUUUGGGAAUGCAACCCCAAUCUGGCGGUAAAUUCCGUCCAAGGCUAAAUAUGGGCGAGAGACCGAUAGCGAACAAGUACCGCGAGGUAAAGAUGAAAAAGACUUUGAAGAGAGAGUCAAAGAGUGCUUGAAAUUUUCGGGAGGGAAGCGGAUGGGGACCGGUGAUUCGUCCCGGUUGGAUGCGGAACGGAGCAAUGGCCGUGGACCGAUGCGGAUUAAGGUGAUAACAUAAGCCCGGGAUUUUGUUACGCCCGCGGAGACGUUGCUGCCUUAAUAGUGGUCUGCGGCAUGCGCCUCACGGCGUGCCUCGGCAUCUGCGUGCUCAGGGCAUCGGCCUGUGGGCUCCCCAUUCGACCCGUCUUGAAACACGG
This 620-nucleotide ribosomal RNA is filed under the name Brassica napus (rape). Its description in RNAcentral is "rRNA LSU_rRNA_eukarya". It matches the Rfam family "Eukaryotic large subunit ribosomal RNA", at positions 24 to 664 of the family's 3401-position model. The record is from RNAcentral. Lineage: Eukaryota; Viridiplantae; Streptophyta; Magnoliopsida; Brassicales; Brassicaceae.